GCUUCGGCCGGCAAAAAACAGUCAACUCAGAACUGGCACGGACCGGGGGAAUCCGACUGUCUAAUUAAACAAGCAUUGCGAUGGCCGCUGGUCGAUGUUGACGCAAUGUGAUUUCUGCCCAGUGCUCUGAAUGUCAACGUGAAGAGAUUCAUCAAAGCGCGGGUAAACGGCGGGAGUAACUAUGACUCUCUUGUGCCUUGUUGGGCACGAGGGGGUUGCCCUGUGAGGGGUUGUUCUCUAGCGAGAGUAGCAUGCACGCCACUCGUUCGCUUGGAAAACCAUGGUUGCU
This 289-nucleotide non-coding RNA is filed under the name Ixodes scapularis (black-legged tick). Its description in RNAcentral is "Eukaryotic large subunit ribosomal RNA". It matches the Rfam family "Eukaryotic large subunit ribosomal RNA", at positions 2082 to 2284 of the family's 3401-position model. Lineage: Eukaryota; Metazoa; Arthropoda; Arachnida; Ixodida; Ixodidae. The record is from Rfam by way of RNAcentral.